GGGGUAGGAGUGAAAUCCCGUAAUCCUGGACGGACCACCGGUGGCGAAAGCGCCUCUGGAAGACGGAUCCGACGGUGAGGGACGAAAGCUAGGGUCUCGAACCGGAUUAGAUACCCGGGUAGUCCUAGCUGUAAACGAUGCUCGCUAGGUGUGACACAGGCUACGAGCCUGUGUUGUGCCGUAGGGAAGCCGAGAAGCGAGCCGCCUGGGAAGUACGUCCGCAAGGAUGAAACUUAAAGGAAUUGGCGGGGGAGCACUACAACCGGAGGAGCCUGCGGUUUAAUUGGACUCAACGCCGGACAUCUCACC
This 309-nucleotide non-coding RNA is filed under the name Natrinema limicola JCM 13563. RNAcentral's name for it is "Haloterrigena limicola JCM 13563 Archaeal small subunit ribosomal RNA". It matches the Rfam family "Archaeal small subunit ribosomal RNA", at positions 623 to 931 of the family's 1478-position model. Lineage: Archaea; Methanobacteriati; Methanobacteriota; Halobacteria; Halobacteriales; Natrialbaceae. The record is from Rfam by way of RNAcentral.